Molecule: ribosomal RNA, 253 nt
Filed under: uncultured bacterium
Lineage: Bacteria
Description: partial 16S ribosomal RNA
Rfam family: Bacterial small subunit ribosomal RNA
Source: RNAcentral
UACGUAGGGUGCGAGCGUUAAUCGGAAUUACUGGGCGUAAAGCGUGCGCAGGCGGUGAUGUAAGACCGAUGUGAAAUCCCCGGGCUUAACCUGGGAACUGCAUUGGUGACUGCAUCGCUCGAGUAUGGCAGAGGGGGGUAGAAUUCCACGUGUAGCAGUGAAAUGCGUAGAUAUGUGGAGGAACACCGAUGGCGAAGGCAGCCCCCUGGGUCAAGACUGACGCUCAUGCACGAAAGCGUGGGGAGCAAACAGG